UGCUCACAGUAGUGGAUAUAAUGGUCAUCUGAAUUAAAUUAGCCAUUCCCAUCCAUUUCAGUUCACUGAUUCCUAAGAUGUCAGUGUUGCCGUCUCCUGAUAGACCACGUCCAGUUUACCUUGAUUCAUGAACCUAACAUUCCAGGUUCCUUUGCAACGUUGUUCUUUACAGCAUCAGACGUUACCUUCACCACCAGACACAGAUGAGCAUGGUUUCCAUUUUUGUCACAGUCACUUCAUUCUUUCUGGAGCUCGUAGUAAUUGACCUCCACUUUUCUGCAGUAGCAUAUUGAACAUCACCUGACCUGUGGGGCUCAUUUGGUGUCAUAUCUUUUUGCCUUUUCAUAGCAUUCACAGGCAAGAAUGCUGGAGUGGUUUGCCAUUUCCCUCUCCAGUGGACCGUGUUUUGUCAGAACUCUUCCCUAUGACCGUCUUGGGUGGCCCUGCAUGGCAUGGCUCAUAGUUUCAUUGAGUUACGCAAGCCCCUUCACCACAACAAGGAUCCAUGAAGGGAAUGAAAACUCUGCAGCUCAUCAAAACAGGGUUGUGGUGAUGGCCACAGAACACUGACUUCAGACAGAUGUCCUACCCACAUUCUCUUCCAUACAGUGGUCAUGUAUGGACGUGAGAGUUGGACCAUAAAGAAAGCUGAGUGCCGAAGAAUUGAUGCUUCUGAACUGUGGUGUUGGAGAAGACCCUUGAGAGUCCCUUGGACUGCAAGGAGAUCCAACCAGUCCAUCCUAAAGGAAAUCAGUCCUGAAUAUUCACUGGGAGGACUGAUGCUGAAGCUGAAACUCCAAUACUUUGGCCAUCUGAUGCGAAGAACUGACUCAUUGCAAAAGACCCUGAUGAUGGGAAAGAUUGAAGGCAGGAGGAGAAGGGGAUGACACAGGAUGAGAUGGUUGGAUGGUAUCACCGACUCAAUGGACAUUAGUUUGAGUAAACUCUGGGAGUUGGGGAUGGACAGGGAGGCCUGGCGUGCUGCAGUCCAUGGGGUUGCAGAGUCGGACAUGAUUGAGCAACUGAACUGAACUGAACUGAUGGUAUUUAAUAUACUAUCCUGUGCUUUGCAGAGAUACAUACAUAGGGAACUUGGCCAGUGCCUUUAAGAAGUUCGUAAUAUAUUCAUUUACAGCCUUGGAGUGAAAAGACAUUAGUAGAAAAAGGAAAUGGAGAGAGGUGAGGGACCACAUUUAUAAUCAAAGAAGGAUAAACAUCACCCUGUUCCCACCCACUGUUUGUUCCAGGCAGGGACAUUGUGAGGGGGGUCACUGAGACCCGGGCCUGGGUGCUGGCUGCAGAGUCCUCUCCAGGAACACCCUCCACACUCAGCAAAGACUAGGGCCCACCCUGCAGGCCUGACAAGGUCCCAGAACGACCCUGUGAUACUUCCCUCUGCUGCUGGACUAGAGAAAGUCGCUCACUUGGGGAGGAAGAAGUGGCUCUCUGAGGAUCUCUGGGGUCCCACUCCCUCCUUUCUAAGGUGGGGAGCUGCCUCUGGCCCCAGCAGAGGGAAGCCCGGCUGCCACUGCUCCAGGGACAUCAUGGGGUCCCACAGUGAGGGGGAGGAGAGCGAGGCCCCCAGGACACAGAGCCUUGGGGAGGGGAACCUGGGAGAAACACACUCCUGGGGGCCUCCAAAGCUCAGACAGGUCUCAUCCAAAGAGAGUGAAUGAAUGAAGGGGUUGGAUUGGCAGUGAGAUGAAAUGACGCUCCCGUGCUGGGCGUAGGCUCUGGCGUCCAGCUCUCCACCCUCUCCUCAUCCCUCAGGGUGGCUUCCAACAGAGCAGCAGGAAGUGCCUGGCCCGGGAGAGGGGAGAUUCGCUAGGAGCCUCGUGCUCCAUUGUUCUUUUUCAAACAUUGCCAUUUCCAGCCAAGGCAGCUGGGCUGCCUGUGGUGGGAGUAAUUGAUCAUGACGUGGUCAGGGGGCAAAGGGCGCCGGUGCUCAUUUCUGAGAAGUGAGCAAGUAUAGAC
Molecule: long non-coding RNA, 1974 nt
Organism: Dama dama (fallow deer)
Lineage: Eukaryota; Metazoa; Chordata; Mammalia; Artiodactyla; Cervidae
Exons: 3
Source: RefSeq, a predicted model, not a curated record